This 1555-nucleotide ribosomal RNA is filed under the name metagenome. Its description in RNAcentral is "bacterial LSU rRNA". It matches the Rfam family "Bacterial large subunit ribosomal RNA", at positions 1345 to 2925 of the family's 2925-position model. The record is from RNAcentral.
CCAAGGUUUCCAGGGUAAAGCUGAUCUGCCCUGGGUGAGUCGGGACCUAAGGUGAGGGCGGGAGCCGUAGCCGAUGGACAACAGGUUGAUAUUCCUGUACUGCAGUAUGACAGAACUGUGGGGACACGUAAGGAGAGCGGGAGCCGGGAAUGGAAAGCCCGGUACAAGCGAGGUACCAGUACGGUAGGAAAAUCCGCCGUGCAAUGGGAAGACGUGAUGUGGAGCGAAAUUUAGUAGCGAAGCCCGUGAGCCAUGCGUCAAGAAAAGCCGCUAUUGUUUAUACUGUACCCGUACCGUAAACCGACACAGGUGGAUGAGGAGAGAAUCCUAAGGCCGGCAGAAGAAGUAUUGCCAAGGAACUCGGCAAAAUGGCCCCGUAACUUAGGGAGAAGGGGUGCCUGCGAGAGCAGGCCGCAGAGAAUAGGCUCAAGCAACUGUUAGCAAAAACACAGGUCUAUGCAAAACCGAAAGGUGAGGUAUAUGGGCUGACGCCUGCCCGGUGCUGGAAGGUUAAGAGGAGAGGUUAGACGUAAGUCGAAGCUUUGAAUUUAAGCCCCAGUAAACGGCGGCCGUAACGAUAACGGUCCUAAGGUAGCGAAAUUCCUUGUCGGGUAAGUUCCGACCCGCACGAAAGGCGUAAUGAUUUGAGCGCUGUCUCGGCAAUACAUCCGGUGAAAUUGAAGUGCCAGUGAAGAUGCUGGCUACCCGCGCAGGACGGAAAGACCCCAUGGAGCUUUACUCCAGUUUGGCACUGGGGUCCGGUGUUGCAUGUACAGGAUAGGUGGGAGGCUGAGAAACGGUAACGUCAGUUGCCGCGGAGCCGCUGUUGGGAUACCACCCUUGUGAUAUUGGGCUUCUAACCAGCCGCCGUAAUCCGGCGGUGGGACAAUGCCAGGCGGGGAGUUUGACUGGGGCGGUCGCCUCCGAAAGGGUAUCGGAGGCGCCCAAAGGUUCCCUCAGAAUGGACGGAAACCAUUCGAAGAGUGCAAAGGCAGAAGGGAGCUUGACUGCGACACCGACGGGUGGAGCAGGUACGAAAGUAGGUCUUAGUGAUCCGGUGGUAUUAAGUGGGAAUGCCAUCGCUCAACGGAUAAAAGCUACCCUGGGAUAACAGGCUUAUCACUCCCAAGAGUUCACAUCGACGGAGUGGUUUGGCACCUCGAUGUCGGCUCAUCGCAUCCUGGGGCUGUAGUAGGUCCCAAGGUUGGGCUGUUCGCCCAUUAAAGCGGUACGCGAGCUGGGUUCAGAACGUCGUGAGACAGUUCGGUCCCUAUCCGGCGUGGGCGUAGGAUAUCUGAGAGGAGCUGUCCUUAGUACGAGAGGACCGGGAUGGACGGACCGCUGGUGGACCGGUUGGCUUGCCAAAGCCAUGGCCGGGUAGCCAAGUCCGGAAGGGAUAAACGCUGAAGGCAUCUAAGCGUGAAGCCCCCCUCAAGAUGAGAUAUCCCAUUCUUAGUGAAGUAAACCCCCUUGAAGACGACGAGGUAGAUAGGGCAGGGGUGGAAGUGUGGUAACACAUGGAGCUGACUGUUACUAAUCGGGUGAGGGCUUGACC